This 483-nucleotide ribosomal RNA is filed under the name Methylophilales bacterium enrichment culture clone NPHTC-033. Its description in RNAcentral is "bacterial SSU rRNA". It matches the Rfam family "Bacterial small subunit ribosomal RNA", at positions 11 to 484 of the family's 1533-position model. Lineage: Bacteria; Pseudomonadati; Pseudomonadota; Betaproteobacteria; Nitrosomonadales. The record is from RNAcentral.
GUUUUGAUUAUGGCUCAGAUUGAACGCUGGCGGAAUGCUUUACACAUGCAAGUCGAACGGCAGCAUAGAGAGCUUGCUCUCUGAUGGCGAGUGGCGAACGGGUGAGUAAUAUAUCGGAACGUGCCUAGUAAUGGGGAAUAACUAGCUGAAAGGUUAGCUAAUGCCGCAUACGACCUAAGGGUGAAAGCAGGGGAUCUUCGGACCUUGCGUUAUUAGAGCGGCCGAUAUCUGAUUAGCUUGUUGGUGGGGUAAUGGCCUACCAAGGCAACGAUCAGUAGCUGGUCUGAGAGGACGAUCAGCCACACUGGAACUGAGACACGGUCCAGACUCCUACGGGAGGCAGCAGUGGGGAAUUUUGGACAAUGGGGGCAACCCUGAUCCAGCCAUUCCGCGUGAGUGAAGAAGGCCUUCGGGUUGUAAAGCUCUUUCGCAAGAGAAGAAAACUUGCUAUCUAAUAAAUAGUAAGCAUGACGGUAUCUGACA